GAUGAAGAACGUAGCAAAAUGCGAUAAGUAAUGUGAAUUGCAGAAUUCAGUGAACCAUCGAAUCUUUGAACGCACAUUGCGCCCGCUGGUAUUCCGGCGGGCAUGCCUGUUCGAGCGUCAUUUCAACCCUCAAGCCCCCGGGUUUGGUGUUGGGGAUCGGCUCUGCCCUUCUGGGCGGUGCCGCCCCCGAAAUACAUUGGCGGUCUCGCUGCAGCCUCCAUUGCGUAGUAGCUAACACCUCGCAACUGGAACGCGGCGCGGCCAUGCCAUAAAACCCCAACUUCUGAAUGUUGACCUCGGAUCAGGUAGGAAUACCCGCUGAACUUAAGCAUAUCAAUAAGCGGAGGA
This 348-nucleotide unclassified non-coding RNA is filed under the name soil metagenome. RNAcentral describes it as "partial contains 5.8S ribosomal RNA, internal transcribed spacer 2, and large subunit ribosomal RNA". The stretch from base 1 to 120 matches the Rfam family "5.8S ribosomal RNA", at positions 35 to 154 of the family's 154-position model. The record is from RNAcentral.